GAUCAUAUGAUUGUAUAAUUUUUAGAUAUUUUUUUAGAUUAUUGUAUAAUUUUUAGAUAUUUUUUAUGAGACUUUGAAUAUGAGUUUCGGGUCUCGAAAUCGGAUUCGGAUAUUCGAGAUCCAUUAGGGUCCAGGUCCGGUACUUUAAGGCUAGACCCGUCGGGUAUUUGGGUCCGGAUCUAGUACCAGUAACUAAGAUCGAGUCCGAUCUAAAUAUUUAGGUUCUGAUCCGAAUCCGACUCGUUGACAGAUCUAGUUAUAAGUGAGCCGUUAACCCUGACCUAAAGGCC
Molecule: long non-coding RNA, 290 nt
Filed under: Elaeis guineensis (African oil palm)
Lineage: Eukaryota; Viridiplantae; Streptophyta; Magnoliopsida; Arecales; Arecaceae
Description: long non-coding RNA (EGUI_LNC075824)
Source: RNAcentral